Molecule: ribosomal RNA, 253 nt
Filed under: uncultured bacterium
Lineage: Bacteria
Description: partial 16S ribosomal RNA
Rfam family: Bacterial small subunit ribosomal RNA
Source: RNAcentral
UACGGGGGGGGGAAGCGUUGUUCGGAAUUACUGGGCGUAAAGGGCUCGUAGGCGGCCAACUAAGUCAGACGUGAAAUCCCUCAGCUUAACUGGGGAACUGCGUCUGAUACUGGAUGGCUUGGAUUUGGGAGAGGAAUGCGGAAUUCCAGGUGUAGCGGUGAAAUGCGUAGAUAUCUGGAGGAACACCGGUGGCGAAGGCGGCAUUCUGGACCAAUAUUGACGCUGAGGAGCGAAAGCCAGGGGAGCAAACGGG